UUAAGCGACUAAGCGUACACGGUGGAUGCCCUGGCAGUCAGAGGCGAUGAAGGACGUGCUAAUCUGCGAUAAGCGUCGGUAAGGUGAUAUGAACCGUUAUAACCGGCGAUUUCCGAAUGGGGAAACCCAGUGUGAUUCGUCACACUAUCAUUAACUGAAUCCAUAGGUUAAUGAGGCGAACCGGGGGAACUGAAACAUCUAAGUACCCCGAGGAAAAGAAAUCAACCGAGAUUCCCCCAGUAGCGGCGAGCGAACGGGGAGCAGCCCAGAGCCUGAAUCAGUGUGUGUGUUAGUGGAAGCGUCUGGAAAGGCGCGCGAUACAGGGUGACAGCCCCGUACACAAAAAUGCACAUACUGUGAGCUCGAUGAGUAGGGCGGGACACGUGGUAUCCUGUCUGAAUAUGGGGGACCAUCCUCCAAGGCUAAAUACUCCUGACUGACCGAUAGUGAACCAGUACCGUGAGGGAAAGGCGAAAAGAACCCCGGCGAGGGGAGUGAAAAAGAACCUGAAACCGUGUACGUACAAGCAGUGGGAGCCUCUUUUAUGGGGUGACUGCGUACCUUUUGUAUAAUGGGUCAGCGACUUAUAUUCUGUAGCAAGGUUAACCGAAUAGGGGAGCCGAAGGGAGACCGAGUCUUAACUGGGCGUUAAGUUGCAGGGUAUAGACCCGAAACCCGGUGAUCUAGCCAUGGGCAGGUUGAAGGUUGGGUAACACUAACUGGAGGACCGAACCGACUAAUGUUGAAAAAUUAGCGGAUGACUUGUGGCUGGGGGUGAAAGGCCAAUCAAACCGGGAGAUAGCUGGUUCUCCCCGAAAGCUAUUUAGGUAGCGCCUCGUGAAUUCAUCUCCGGGGGUAGAGCACUGUUUCGGCAAGGGGGUCAUCCCGACUUACCAACCCGAUGCAAACUGCGAAUACCGGAGAAUGUUAUCACGGGAGACACACGGCGGGUGCUAACGUCCGUCGUGAAGAGGGAAACAACCCAGACCGCCAGCUAAGGUCCCAAAGUCAUGGUUAAGUGGGAAACGAUGUGGGAAGGCCCAGACAGCCAGGAUGUUGGCUUAGAAGCAGCCAUCAUUUAAAGAAAGCGUAAUAGCUCACUGGUCGAGUCGGCCUGCGCGGAAGAUGUAACGGGGCUAAACCAUGCACCGAAGCUGCGGCAGCGACGCUUAUGCGUUGUUGGGUAGGGGAGCGUUCUGUAAGCCUGUGAAGGUGUGCUGUGAGGCAUGCUGGAGGUAUCAGAAGUGCGAAUGCUGACAUAAGUAACGAUAAAGCGGGUGAAAAGCCCGCUCGCCGGAAGACCAAGGGUUCCUGUCCAACGUUAAUCGGGGCAGGGUGAGUCGACCCCUAAGGCGAGGCCGAAAGGCGUAGUCGAUGGGAAACAGGUUAAUAUUCCUGUACUUGGUGUUACUGCGAAGGGGGGACGGAGAAGGCUAUGUUGGUCGGGCGACGGUUGUCCCGGUUUAAGCGUGUAGGCUGGUUUUCCAGGCAAAUCCGGAAAAUCAAGGCUGAGGCGUGAUGACGAGGCACUACGGUGCUGAAGCAACAAAUGCCCUGCUUCCAGGAAAAGCCUCUAAGCAUCAGGUAACAUCAAAUCGUACCCCAAACCGACACAGGUGGUCAGGUAGAGAAUACCAAGGCGCUUGAGAGAACUCGGGUGAAGGAACUAGGCAAAAUGGUGCCGUAACUUCGGGAGAAGGCACGCUGAUAUGUAGGUGAAGUCCCUCGCGGAUGGAGCUGAAAUCAGUCGAAGAUACCAGCUGGCUGCAACUGUUUAUUAAAAACACAGCACUGUGCAAACACGAAAGUGGACGUAUACGGUGUGACGCCUGCCCGGUGCCGGAAGGUUAAUUGAUGGGGUCAGCGCAAGCGAAGCUCUUGAUCGAAGCCCCGGUAAACGGCGGCCGUAACUAUAACGGUCCUAAGGUAGCGAAAUUCCUUGUCGGGUAAGUUCCGACCUGCACGAAUGGCGUAAUGAUGGCCAGGCUGUCUCCACCCGAGACUCAGUGAAAUUGAACUCGCUGUGAAGAUGCAGUGUACCCGCGGCAAGACGGAAAGACCCCGUGAACCUUUACUAUAGCUUGACACUGAACAUUGAGCCUUGAU
RNAcentral lists this ribosomal RNA (2106 nucleotides) under Escherichia coli P0301867.1. RNAcentral's name for it is "bacterial LSU rRNA". It matches the Rfam family "Bacterial large subunit ribosomal RNA", at positions 1 to 2135 of the family's 2925-position model. The record is from RNAcentral. Lineage: Bacteria; Pseudomonadati; Pseudomonadota; Gammaproteobacteria; Enterobacterales; Enterobacteriaceae.